This 506-nucleotide ribosomal RNA is filed under the name uncultured bacterium. RNAcentral's name for it is "partial 16S ribosomal RNA". It matches the Rfam family "Bacterial small subunit ribosomal RNA", at positions 29 to 523 of the family's 1533-position model. The record is from RNAcentral.
AGUGAACGCUGGCGGUAGGCCUAACACAUGCAAGUCGAACGGCAGCACAGGAGAGCUUGCUCUCUGGGUGGCGAGUGGCGGACGGGUGAGGAAUACAUCGGAAUCUACUCUGUCGUGGGGGAUAACGUAGGGAAACUUACGCUAAUACCGCAUACGACCUACGGGUGAAAGCAGGGGACCUUCGGGCCUUGCGCGAUUGAAUGAGCCGAGGUCGGAUUAGCUAGUUGGCGGGGUAAAGGCCCACCAAGGCGACGAUCCGUAGCUGGUCUGAGGGGUUGAUCGACCACACUGGAACUAAGACACGGUCCAGACUCCUACGGGAGGAAGCAAUGGGGAAUAUUGGACAAUGGGCGCAAGCCUGAUCCAGCCAUACCGCGUGGGUAAAGAAGGCCUUCGUGUUGUAAAGCCCUUUUGUUGGGAAAGAAAUCCAGCUGGCUAAUACCCGGUUGGGAUGACGGUACCCAAAGAAUAAGCACCGGCUAACUUCGUGCCAGCCGCCGCCGUAA